Centruroides sculpturatus (bark scorpion) is the source of this 1289-nucleotide RNA transcript. It is a transcript of the gene named profilin-like, with no coding region annotated. The record is from RefSeq and is a predicted model, not a curated record. The transcript has 3 exons. Lineage: Eukaryota; Metazoa; Arthropoda; Arachnida; Scorpiones; Buthidae.
GAAGGAAAGGUAGCUCAGCAUUAAUUGUUGUAGCCACUAAUACAUGUCUUCUUGUUGCUGCUACAACUGAUGGCUUCCCUCCAGGUCAGCUCAAUACUGUAGUGGAAAAAUUAGGAGAUUAUCUGAGAGCAAACAAUUUCUAGCUCCAAUCCAUUUUCUUUUGUAUACAAUGUUCCACUUCACUGAAGACUUCGGCUUGUCUGUGACAGUAUUGUGUAUGCAGCUGCAGUUGUAUUCAACAGAAAGGGGAGAAGACUUUUUUAUAAUCUAGUGACGAGCCAAUUUCCUGCUUAUGCCAUUUUAUACUCUGAUUCAUUGACUAUUCUCCUGUGCCAGUGCAAGUAGACAGUUGUACGAAUGUUGUGUAUUUUUUCAUUUCUUUUUUUCCAUCCUUAAUUUCUCUUGUAUAUUUAUCUCUAAAAUAGUUACAUCAUUUAACUUGAGUUCAUCAUAUAUAGGAUCUUUUUUCUUUUCAUAAUGGAAUCUCAUUAUCCAAUAUAAUUCUAUUCGUACUUAACGCAACUUUAGUGACAAGCUACAUUAGCACAAAAAAGGGGUUUGUCAGCAUUUCUACAACUUUUUUAAAAAAGUCUUUUCAAUGCUUCGUAUCAAACUAGUCAUGUAUCCAUUUACUAGCAUAUCACUAAUGGUUGUUUGUGAUGCAUUAAAAAAAAAAUACAAAAAUUUUGCUAAGAAUAAAGCCCAAUCAUCUUUAGUAUUUUUCAUAUUUUAAAUCGAGACUUUUUUCUAAAAAAAAAUUCUUAAUGGCGUGAAGAAUUCUUUCUAAACCAAAAAUCCUUCCUUCAUUGGUGCUUUAUAAAACUUGUCUUCCUUUCCCACUAUUGUAGAAAAAAACUGACGAAAUUAUUCUUUUACUUUUCUUACGAAUUUCUCUUUUUCUAAGAGGCAACUCUCCCUGCACCAACAAUGCAGAUUAAUUAUUCCUAGUAUCCCAUUUUUGAUGUUAUUGAAAGUUUUUGCGUGAAUUGUGUCUAUAGCUGCAUCGUCAUGAUGUGCGUGGAACCAUGUUGUGUGCCGUCUUUUAGCUAAAGACCGUCGUCUUUACGAUCUUAUUGUAUUUUGCUCCCAAAAUUUAACAUGUCCUGUCAUUCCUCUUUCAGCUUUAAAUCUAUUCCCCACAUAAGAUAUCCAUUGGUGCCAAUAAGUGAAGACGACAAUGUUUAAGUGCUAUUUGUAAGUUCCUGCGUUAUAUUUCAUUUUGUACUGCUGGUAUAAUACGUCAACGAUACCCUAAUAAAAGAAGGAAGUCAUUCCAAUAUAUUCUCGGA